RNAcentral lists this long non-coding RNA (2789 nucleotides) under Ananas comosus (pineapple). RNAcentral describes it as "long non-coding RNA (ACOM_LNC025521)". The record is from RNAcentral. Lineage: Eukaryota; Viridiplantae; Streptophyta; Magnoliopsida; Poales; Bromeliaceae.
UUUAUAGGAUGAUUUUGUUAGGAUUUGGUUAGAUUUGUAGUUAAAUUCUAUUUGGAUAAGAAUUAAUAUUUAAAUCUGUUUGAGAUAAAUUAAGAUUUAAAUAUUAAUUAGAGGAUAAAGCUAACUAGAUUAGGAUUAAUAUUUAAAUCUAUUAGAGAUUGAUUAAGAUAGAUUUAAAUAUUAAUUAAAGUAUGAAUUCUAAAUAUAUUAGGAUUGGGGUACGUUUUAAGUUGAGCAUUAUAAAUAAGCAUUGUGGCUCUCUUUUUUGGGAGUAGUACAGCUGGAACCAUUGGGGUGUCGUACGAGAGAGAGAAAAAGAGAGAGUGUUAUUUUAGUGCACCUUGUGCACGGGUGCACGCGGAGAGGUCUUCUUUGUGGGUUUAUAGAAGACGAGAGAAGGGUAGAAGAGAUUCAAGAAAGAGAGCUCGGGUUGUAGCUACUCUGUGCAGAAGAGGAGUUAGGUAUAAUCUUCUCUUAUUUAAUGAAUCUUAUUUUACCUGCAUAUUUUUUUCUUUUAUGAUUGUAUCAGCUUUUGCUGAGGAGACGGGUUUAUGGUAAAAAUCCGAUUUGACGUUUCCGUUGCGGAAUCCUAACAAUCGAUACCGGAUCCACAGCAGUCGGUAUCGGAGCGGAUUGCUGAUUCACGAGAUCCGGUACCGGGGCGAAUACCGGAUUCCCAACAAGUGGUAUCAGAGCCGAAGGUUACCGAUCUGCGGGAGAGAUCGACGGAGAUGGCCACGAAAUUCGAAAUCGAGAAGUUCGACGGCAAGAACAAUUUCGGAUUAUGGCAAAUUAAAGUACGAGCAAUCCUCGUACAGUAAGAGUUAGACGAGACGUUGAACGGGAAGGAGGCAAAGCCGGCGGACGUCACGGAUGCGGCAUGGACGAAGAUGGAGCGGAAGGCGUUGAGUACGCUUCAUCUAUCAUUAGCAGAUGAGGUUCUUUACAAUGUAGCCGGCGAGAUGACACCGGCGAAAUUGUGGAAGAAAUUGGAAGAUCUGUACACAACCAAAUCCCUGACGAACAGAUUGUAUCUGAAGCAGCGACUGUUUACGUUGCGGAUGCAAGAAGCGGCGAGCCUACAUGAUCAUCUAAAUGAGUUCAACAAGGUGGUGGCCCAGUUGACCAGCAUCGGAGUCAAUCUGGAUGACGAAGACAAGGCGUUGAUCCUACUAUCUUCGCUACCGACGACAUAUGAGCAUCUGGUGACCACGUUGCUUUAUGGCAAGGAGUCCAUAAGCGUGGAGGCGGUCACGGCGGCGCUUCUCUCGAACGAGAUGCGGAAGAUGACUCAGGAGUCUGGCACGCAAAGUCAGGAUGUAGGACUGGUGGUGACUGCGAAGAAGGAGGCGAGAAUAUCGGCGACCAGAUAUCGACAGAAGAAACCGCUAUCUGAGGUAGAAUGCUUUUACUGUCACAGGAAGGGGCAUAUCAAGCGCAAUUGUCGAAAACUUCAGGAUGAUCCGAAGGAGUUAAAGUGACAGAAGGAGCAAACUGUCGUGAACCAGGACGAGACGGUAUCAGCGACGGCGCAGACAGCAGAGUCGGAGAUGAUCGAUUCUGAUGUGCUGUAUGCGGCGACCGGAGGUGCGAAAAUUUCGGACGAUGCGUGGGUGCUCGAUUCGGCGUGUUCUUUUCACGUAUGCUCGGAGAAGGAGUCUUUUGCCACCUAUAAGGCGAUCAAAGAUGGAAAGGCGCUGAUGGGGAACAGGACAGCGUGCAAAGUAUUGGGAGUCGGCAUGGUGAAAAUCCGAAUGCAUGAUGGGGUCGUGAGGACGCUGAGAGGUGUGCGGCAUGUUCCUGGAUUGAAGCGGAAUUUGAUCUCGUUAGGCGCAUUGGACUAUAAGGGUUGCGAUAUUUCGGCUUCAGGUGGAGCUAUAAGAGUCCGAAAGAAAGAUCGGAUCGUAUGCGAGGCGAACAAGCGUGGGAACUUAUAUGUUCUGAACGGGAGAACAGUCAGAAUGGGAGCGAAGACGAUUUGGGUUCCAAAAGUUCGCGGAGGUGCAGUCGCUCGAGGCGGAGUGACGGAUGCGGCGACAUCGAGCGAAGGAGACAAGCUCAAGGUGGAGCUUGCAUGGUGAGCUCGACGUAGCGGUUGAAAAUUACAAAUCAAACCAAGGUGGAGAAUGUUAAGAUUUGGUUAGAUUUGUAGUUAAAUCCUAUUUGGAUAAGAAUUAAUAUUUAAAUCUGUUUGAGAUAAAUUAAGAUUUAAAUAUUAAUUAGCGGAUAAACCUAACUAGAUUAGGAUUAAUAUUUAAAUCUAUUAGAGAUUGAUUAAGAUAGAUUUAGAUAUUAAUUAAAGUAUGAAUUCUAAAUAUAUUAGGAUUGGGAUACGUUUUAAGUUGAGCAUUAUAAAUAGGCAUUGUGGCUCUCUUUUUUGGGAGUAGUACGGCUGGAACCAUUGGGAUGUCGUACCAGAGAUAGAAAAAGCGAGAGAGAGUUAUUUUAAUGCACCUUGUGCACGGGUGCACGCAGAGAGGUCUUCUUUGUGGGUUUAUAGAAGACGAGAGAAGGGUAGAAGAGAUUCAAGAAAGAGGGCUCGGGUUGUAGCUACUCUGUGCAGAAGAGGAGUUAGGUGUAAUCUUCUCUUAUUUAAUGAAUCUUAUUUUACCUGCAUAUUUUUUUCUUUUAUAAUUAUAUCAGCUUUUGCUGAGGAGACGGGUUUAUUGUAAAAAUCCGAUUUGACGUUUCCGUUGCGGAAUCCCAACAAUCGAUAUCGAAUCCACAGCAGUCGGUAUCGGAGCGGGUUGCGGAUUCACGAGAUCCGGUACCGGGGCGAAUACCGGAUU